UUUAAUCCCAGCACAGGGAGGCAAAGGCAGGUAGAUCUCUGAGUUCAAGGCCAGCUCAAUCUACUUAGUGAGACCCUUGCUCAGUGGGUCAGAAGGCCUGCUGUUAAGGUGGUGGUGGUGUUCCUGAAAUAGAUCUGUAGACUUCCAGCUAUCUCGCUUUGAAAAUUGACACGUUUGACGCUGGUUCCCUAUGGAAAUGUGAGGAAAGGAAGACAGGACAUAAAAGAAUAAAAAGCAAGGCGGCUUACACUUCUGAUUUCAAACUUACAUGUCAGUGCUAAUUAAGUCUGUGUGAUCUGGACAUGAGGGCAGAUGGGUAAAAAAGCUGUCUGCUAUCCCCACUGUGACCACAAACAGAACUCAGAGGGAGGGCCCUUUAACCCAUGAGCUACCACAGUUCCUCUUGGCUGUUAAAGGAAAGACCUUUCGUCCUUUUCAAACAAAACUGCUAGUUUCACCCGUUGUUACCAUUUGACUGUACUAGCAUUGUCGUGCCUCCAUAGGCUCCCGCACGGGGAGCCUUGGUUUCCAACUAGUGGCACACAUUUGGGAGUUGGGAAAACCUUGUGAGUCCUGGAGGCACACCCUGGGAAGAUGCACCAGCUCCAGCCUUUCCUGCACCUUGAUGUGAGAAGCACUGCUCCACCACAUGCUUCCUGCCGUGCUGCCCCGCCCUGACAUACCUCACUCAGGAGCAAUGAAGCCAGAUGACUAUGGGCCGAUCUGACACUGUGGGCCAAAAGAAACCAUUCAUGUGUAGCCCAGGCUGUCCUGGGACUCAGUAUGUAGCCCAGGCUGUCCUGGAACUCGGUAUGUAGCCCAGGCUCCCCUCAGAUUUGUAGCUUUCGCCUGCCUCAGCCUCCCAAGUGCCAGACUGCAGCCAUGACCAGCCUACCUGGUUUCACCUCUUCUUUCACAUUGUGCACGUGUGUUUGGUCUCAGCAGCUGAAGUCUAACACGGUUGUCAUUUCUGACAGAGCUUUGAGGAGGAAGGAAUCAGUGUGGUAUAGAAAUAAGGUGUGGACUCCAGUAUGCUGUGUAAAGGCAGCACCAGUCAGACACCAAAACCAUGCGUUGUAAGAGAGCAAACUGCUAUCCAGUGGACCCCAAGCCCAUCACGCAGAAGCAGGAGGCAGAAGCACUCAAAUACUACUGAGCACAUGGACCACCCCAUCCAUAAGCAACUCAGCAUUAAAGUCAGCCUCCUAAGUGAGAACAGGAGGGUGAAGGAAGACAGUCCGUACAGCAGAGAAAGUGUCUGACAGAGCCCCACAGCCAUUGUGACAAGCUCAGCAAACUAGGGAGAGAAACAAGCCUCCUUUCCCUGGUGAAGGACGCCUGCUGCUGGGGCGGGUUGAGCUGAGUAGGUUUGCCGGACACAGGUGUUACAGAGCCGCCUGCAUCCCUGUGAGGAGCAGCUAGAAGUUAAAGUGUGACAUCAGGGCAUUCACAAUGACACUACAAAACAAAUGCCUUGGUAUGAAUAAAAAUGUUUUCUGAAAACUA
Long non-coding RNA from Rattus rattus (black rat), 1506 nucleotides. RefSeq lists it as uncharacterized. Lineage: Eukaryota; Metazoa; Chordata; Mammalia; Rodentia; Muridae. The record is from RefSeq and is a predicted model, not a curated record. The transcript has 2 exons.